UAAAGAUAGUCAACUUCAUACGAACCACACCCAAGUAACAGUACCACUCAGGCACUGUACUGCUGCCCUGACGCCCCUUGCAAUUAAAGGAAAAAAGAGAGGGGAGGGGUAGAAAGGCGGCGGGAGGAGCAGCGGAGCGGAGAGAGAGGUAGAGGAGGAGGCCUAGCAGAGAGAGAGAGAGAGAUAGGCACCAUGGAAAACGCUAGAGAGGUUCAGGUAGUGAUGUUCCCUUUGCCCCCCAUUGGCCACCUCGUGACCAUGGUCGAGCUCGCAAAAACCCUCAUCCGCAACCACUCUCUCCUCUCCAUCACCAUCCUCACACCCCAUGACCACCCGUUCGACGCCGCCACCACCGACCCUUACAUCUCCCGCAUCUCGUCGUCCUACUCCCCCACCCGCCUCCGCUUCCUCAAAUUGCCCCCUGUUAAUUUCUCGCCCACCUCUGAUAUGAGACCCCAAACCAUCAGAUCGCUCUUUGCCGCUGCUCACAAGCCCUUCGUCACCGAAGCCCUGAAAUCCCUCUCCAGCCCGUCAUUCCCUGUUCACGCUUUUGUUACUGACUUCUUCUGCACCACCCUGCUGGACGCCGCCAAAGAAGCUGAUGUCCCAUCUUAUAUCUUCUUCACCUCUGGUGCCAAUUUCCUCUCCCUCAUGCUCUUCCUCCCCACCCUCCACGAGCAGAUCCCAUGUGAAUUCAGGGAUUGGAAGAAUCCCAUCCCUGUUCCCGGAUUGCCGCCCGUGCCUCCAAUUGACAUGCCGGUUGCCUUCCAGGACAAGACCAACGACGCCUACAAGUGGUUUCUGUACCACUGCCGCCGGUUACGGGAGUCGAAGGGGAUUAUCGUCAACACCUUUGCGGAGCUUGAGCCCCUGACACUCAAGGCAUUGCGAGAGGGGCUCUGCUUGCCCGAACACCCCAUGCCGACCAUCUACACUGUUGGCCCCCUCCUCAACCUCCAUGACCUGCCUGCCGGUGGCGAGCGACACCAAUGCUUGCAGUGGCUCGACAAGCAGCCCCAUGGCUCGGUCGUGUUCUUGUGCUUCGGCAGCCUUGGUGCGUUCUCUGCGCACCAGACAAAUGAGAUGGCACUGGGGCUCAAGCAGAGCGGCCAGCGGUUCCUGUGGUCCCUUCGCACCACCUCCCACGACAGCGAGCCUCUUUCAGAAGGAUUCGCAGAGCGUACUCAGGAGUACGGGAUGGUGUGGCCCAAGUGGGUGCCACAGGUGGCUGUGCUCGCACACCCUGCAGUCGGGGGGUUUGUUUCGCAUUGCGGGUGGAACUCGACUCUGGAGAGUCUGUGGCAUGGGGUGCCAAUGGUUGCAUGGCCGCUGUAUGCGGAGCAGAGGCUGAACGCGUUGGUGUUAGUGAGAGAAUUGGGAGUGGCUUUGGAGGUGGAGAUGGGGGAGGAUGGGGUGGUGAGGGCUGAGGAAUUAGGGAGCAGAGUGAGGGCUUUGAUGGAAGAGGAGGAGGAGGGGCGAAGAGUGAGAAAGCGUGCAAAAGAACUGAAGGAGGCGGCGAUGAAGGCGUUGGAAGAAGGAGGGUCGUCGCAAUCUUCUUUAAAAGCGGCCAUCAAUGAAAUGCUCAAAGGAGAUGAGGGGAGGGAUCAACUAUGCUAGUUAUUAUGAAGAGAGGGCUUACGAGAGAAGUUAUUAUGAAGAGAGAGGCUUACAAGAGAAGUUAUUAUGAAGAAAGAGGCUUACAAGAGAAGAGAAGAGAAUAUUUUUUUAAUCAGAACUGCAGGAAUUCAUGGAGAACUUACAACUAGCUUCACUUCACAACAAAAUGGAGUCGUAGAGCGUAAGAAUCGGAUAAUUGUGGAUGUUGUGAGAUGCAUGUUAAAGGAAAAAGGAAUUCCAAAUAUUUUUUGGGUUGAAGCUGUGACAACAUCAGUUUAUCUACUGAGUCAAUUUCCUACAAAAGCAGGUAAAAACUCCAUGCGAGAUUUGGUAUGGGAGAAAACCGAAUGCAAGUCACAUAAAGGUAUUUGGUUCUAUUGCCUAUGCUCAUAUUACUUCCGAAUGCAAGUCACAUAAAGGUAUUUGGUUCUAUUGCCUAUGCUCAUAUUACUUCUGCAAAUUGACAAAAAUUAGAUAAUAAGAGUACAAAAUGCAUUUUUGUUGGCUCUAACCCUUCAGAAAAAGGAGUUGAUUAUAAGUCGAGAUGUUUUCUUUAACAAGAAUAAUACUUGAUAUUGGGAAAGUGGUGUAAAAAAAUAUCCUUUAACUUGUAGAAGAGGAAGAAGAAUCUCCAAGUGCAACGGCAAGCCCAUCUACAUCUCAAAUUGAAUUCUCAGAGUCAUCUCCAAGGUAGGUAAGUAGUCUUAUGAUAUUUAUCAAUUGUAUGAAUUUACAUUUUUUUUGCCUUGAAACCUACUUGUUUUGAAGAUGCAACUACAAAGAAAGAGUGGGUUCAUGCUAUGGAGGAAAUGAGUGCAAUUGAAAGACAUAAAACGUAGAGAUUGGUGGACCUACCCCCUGGAAAAUAAGCUAUCGAACUCAUGUAGAUUUACUAAUCCAAAUUGAAUUAUGAUGGAUCUCUACAAACGCAUAAAGCCUGGUUGGUUGCCAAAGGAUACCGGCAAAUUCCAGUUAUUAGUCUUCAGGAACUUUUGCACUUGUUGCUAGGAUUGAUACUAUUAGAAUUCUUAGCAUUGGCUGCUCAAAAAGGUUAGGAACUUUUCCAAUUUAAUGUCAAAUCAACAUUUCUUAAUGGAGAAUUACAAGAGGAAGUUUGUAUAGAGAAGCCCCUGGGAUGUCAAAGGUAUGGAAUAUAAAGUCUACAAUUAAAGUCUACAAUUAAAGUCUACAAUUAAACACUACAAAUCGGGGAAAGUGUUCAAAAAUCACAAGCAGGCUCCUAGAGCAUGGUAUAACAAAAUUGACGAGUAUUUCCUUGACAACAAUUUCAAGAACAGUGUGAGUGAACCAACCCUCCAUGUGAAGUCCAAGGUAUGGAUGAAAUUCUUAUAGUUUGCCUACUACAUGUUGAUGACAUGAUAUUUACAGGAAAUUAUUUGAGUUUGAUAAAGGAAUCAAGAAAAAAUAUGAUGUCAAAGUUUGAAAUGGCAGACUUCAGUCUUUCACAUUUUUUCUUUAUGAUUGGAAGUCAUUGAAGAUUCUCAUGAAAUUUUCUCAUGUCUAGAAAAGCAUACCUCUAGAAAAGCAUACCUCUGAUUUGUUGAAAAGGUUCAAUAUGCCUAGUUCUAAUCCGUCAAAAACUUCCAUGAAUACAAAUGAAAAACUUAUAAUAGAUGAUGGAGUGGAGAAAACAAAUAUUAAAGAAUAUAGAAACAUGAUUGGGGGGCUGAUUUAUCUCACUCACACGGGACUAGAUAUAAUGUUUUCCAUGAGCCUACUUUAGCUUUAUAGAUUGUCCAAGAAAAUACCAAGAUGGUGAAGUUAAGAGAAUCUUAAGACAUGUUUGUGGGAACACUGAAUUUUAGAAUCAAGUAUGAUCAAGUUAAUAAUUUUAAGCUUGUAUUUUAUACUGACAGUGAUUGCACAAGAUGUGCGGAUGAUAGGAAAAGUACUUCAGGUUUUGCUAUUGGUCUUUGGUCCGACAUGAUAUCUUGGGCAACUAACCAGCGACAUUGUGUCGAUCUGUCUUGUUCAAAAGUCGAAUACAUAGCUGCUCAAGUUAAGCAUGUAAACCGUGUGGCUAAGGAGGAUCCUCUUUGAUUUAAAGAAGAAGCAAGAAGGUGCCACAAAUAUACUCUACGAAACCAGGUCCACCAUUACAAUGACAAAAGAUCCUAUCAUUUAUGGGAGGACUAAACACAGAGAAAUCUGUCAUCAUUUUAAUUGAGAGCUCGUAGAUCAAGAUGUGGUAUUGCAACAUAAUGGACCAGAUUACUGAUAUUUUCAUUAAAGCUCUUCUAUAGGUGAAGUUCUACAAGUUGCGUAAACUAAUCUGUGUUGAAGCAGUUUGAAUUAAGGGGACAUGUUGAAGAUUAAUUCAAACUUUUAACCAACCACUAGUGUGUAGUGGUGCUGGUUAUCUCAUGUAAUGAGUAGUUAUUAUUGUGGGUUAGUUAUAGUUAGUUAUUGCAUUAUGGGUUCAGUUGUUAAUUAUUGUAAGUGGGAGGUAGUUUUAUGAAUGGGUUGGUAGUUAUUGUAAGUAGGUAGUUUGUUAUUGUGUGAGUCAAAAAUGUCUUAUAGGAGGUAGUUGUUGUUGUAAAUGGGAUGAAGACCAAUUCUAAGUGAGUUACAUGAAUCUCUAUUUAAAGAGGAGUGUGGGAAAUGUAGGGCAGUUUUCGGAGUACGGUGUGCGGAUGUGCAAAUGUUGAAAUGCACAAACAGCCCAUCCUUUAGGUAGUCUUAAACAGAGCUCUUUUGUUAUUUUUGGGUACAUCAGAUACCCUUGUUAAUUAUAUUCGCACUUCAACCAAUGGAUGGGCAAAACACCUCUGUUUAAUCGAUAGUAAAUGGCAGCAGUUUGAAAGAAAAAGAUACAAGAUACUUCCUUCGCAUACAAAGGACCUUCAGUCUUGUUGUGCCUGCUUAUCUGCCGGAAUGUAUGUGAAUUUGUCUAUGUUUCUUUGGAUAUCUAUGAUCCGUCUGUCUCUCUCAUUCUUAUUAGUUUGAAAACAGUUAGUCCUUUUACCGA
Molecule: RNA transcript, 4606 nt
Organism: Amborella trichopoda
Lineage: Eukaryota; Viridiplantae; Streptophyta; Magnoliopsida; Amborellales; Amborellaceae
Gene name: anthocyanidin 5,3-O-glucosyltransferase
Source: RefSeq, a predicted model, not a curated record